Molecule: ribosomal RNA, 292 nt
Filed under: uncultured bacterium
Lineage: Bacteria
Also listed under: 1 other name
Description: partial 16S ribosomal RNA
Source: RNAcentral
GGACUACCAGGGUAUCUAAUCCUGUUUGAUCCCCACACUUUCGUGCCUCAGCGUCAGUUGAAGCCUAGUAAGCUGUCUACACUAUCGGUGUUCUUGACGAUAUCUAAGCAUUUCACCGCUACACCGUCAAUUCCGCCUACCUCGACUUCACUCAAGCCCUGCAGUAUCAAUGGCACCCCUCCAGUUAAGCUGGAGUAUUUCACCACUGACUUACAGGGCCGCCUACGCACCCUUUAAACCCAAUAAAUCCGGACAACGCUUGCCACCUACGUAUUACCGCGGCUGCUGGCAC